Long non-coding RNA from Haliotis rufescens (red abalone), 278 nucleotides. RefSeq lists it as uncharacterized. The transcript is spliced from 2 exons. The record is from RefSeq and is a predicted model, not a curated record. Lineage: Eukaryota; Metazoa; Mollusca; Gastropoda; Lepetellida; Haliotidae.
CGGCUCCCUAUGCGCGUUCACACUCCGUCGCAGUGGUGACUCAGCAUAACACCACGUACUAUGCUAGCUGGCUGCCGGCCGCAUGGAACUCUGGGUAGGAGAGUGAUGCGCGUUGUCAACUUUCGGGGAACUACUCUCGGUCUUCUUCUCGGCUGUCUGACACUGCCCGCUGGGGCUCACUAGCUGCCGUGAGUCGAUUUGCUCGCUUACGCAACUGAGCGUGACAAGAGACUGGGCUACCGUCUGUAAGGACAGCGUAAAUAAACUUCGAGGCAGUA